RNAcentral lists this small nuclear RNA (106 nucleotides) under Cervus hanglu yarkandensis (Yarkand deer). RNAcentral's name for it is "U2 spliceosomal RNA (ENSCHYG00000024132.1)". It matches the Rfam family "U2 spliceosomal RNA". From Rfam's summary of the family: U2 is a small nuclear RNA (snRNA) component of the spliceosome (involved in pre-mRNA splicing). Complementary binding between U2 snRNA (in an area lying towards the 5' end but 3' to hairpin I) and the branchpoint sequence (BPS) of the intron results the bulging out of an unpaired adenosine, on the BPS, which initiates a nucleophilic attack at the intronic 5' splice site, thus starting the first of two transesterification reactions that mediate splicing. The record is from Rfam by way of RNAcentral. Lineage: Eukaryota; Metazoa; Chordata; Mammalia; Artiodactyla; Cervidae.
AUCUCUUUACAUCUUUUGGCUAAGAUCAAGUGUAGUAUCUGUUCUUAUCAGUUUAAUGUCUGAUACGUCCUCUAUCUUCCCUGGUGGCUCAGACGGUAAAGCGUCU